RNAcentral lists this unclassified non-coding RNA (314 nucleotides) under uncultured marine bacterium 311. RNAcentral's name for it is "partial 16S-23S ribosomal RNA intergenic spacer". The record is from RNAcentral.
CCUCCUUAAAAAAAAUCGUUUGUUAUAGGCGUUCACACGAAUUACUUAUUUGUCUUCAUUCUUUAAUAUUUAAAGAUGAAAGACGAGUUCUUUAAAAUUUUUAUAAGUUCAAUCAAGUCAUAUCGAAAACAAUUAUUUGUUUUAGGAUAUGCAAAUUAACUACUCAUAUUAAAGGUUUUAUUAUUCUUUUAAUCCGAAACCUUUUAUGAGUAACUGCAAAGUAAUUUGGCGUUAUAGUAGAUAGAAAUAUUUGAAAAUAUCAUUAAGUUAAUUGAUGUAAUAUGGUCAAGUAAUGAAGUGCAAACGGUGGAUGC